RNAcentral lists this ribosomal RNA (397 nucleotides) under uncultured Lactobacillus sp. RNAcentral describes it as "bacterial SSU rRNA". It matches the Rfam family "Bacterial small subunit ribosomal RNA", at positions 64 to 446 of the family's 1533-position model. Lineage: Bacteria; Bacillati; Bacillota; Bacilli; Lactobacillales; Lactobacillaceae. The record is from RNAcentral.
AACAGAUUUACUUCGGUAAUGACGUUAGGAAAGCGAGCGGGCGGGAUGGGUGAGUAACACGUGGGGAACCCUGCCCCAUAGUCUGGGAUACCACUUGGAAACAGGUGCUAAUACCGGAUAAGAAAGCAGAUCGCAUGAUCAGCUUUUAAAAGGCGGCGUAAGCUGUCGCUAUGGGAUGGCCCCGCGGUGCAUUAGCUAGUUGGUAAGGUAAAGGCUUACCAAGGCGAUGAUGCAUAGCCGAGUUGAGAGACUGACGUGCUGCUGUGGGACUGAGACACGGCCCAAACUCCUACGGGAGGCAGCAGUAGGGAAUCUUCCACAAUGGACGCAAGUCUGAUGGAGCAACGCCGCGUGAGUGAAGAAGGUUUUCGGAUCGUAAAGCUCUGUUGUUGGUGAA